Molecule: unclassified non-coding RNA, 336 nt
Filed under: soil metagenome
Description: partial contains 5.8S ribosomal RNA, internal transcribed spacer 2, and large subunit ribosomal RNA
Rfam family: 5.8S ribosomal RNA (bases 1-120)
Source: RNAcentral
GAUGAAGAACGUAGCGAAAUGCGAUAAGUAAUGUGAAUUGCAGAAUUCAGUGAAUCAUCGAAUCUUUGAACGCACAUUGCGCCCCUUGGUAUUCCGGGGGGCAUGCCUGUUCGAGCGUCAUUUCAACCCUCAAGCUCUGCUUGGUAUUGGGCUCCGUCCUCCUCGGACGCGCCUCAAAGACCUCGGCGGUGGCGUCUUGCCUCAAGCGUAGUAGAAACACCUCGCUUUGGAGUGCAUGGCGUCGCCCGCCGGACGAAACCUUUUGUAUUUUCUCAAAGGUUGACCUCGGAUCAGGUAGGGAUACCCGCUGAACUUAAGCAUACAAUAAGCGGAGGA